GUCCACACCGCAAGAGCAUCCCCAAUCCAGCCUGCCGCCCCUGCAUCCACCCAGAACCACCGCCCCCAUCCUCUUUAUCCACGCCACAGGAGAAUCCCCCAAUCCAGCCGGCUGCACCAGCAUCACGCAAUCCAGCGCCGCCGCCUCAACCCCUCCAUCACCCCACAUAGCUGUCCCAGUGUACAGGCAAAGCUAAAUUAAAAAGAUCUCAGCUUUGUGGGCUAUACAUACAAAAACUUUGAUGCUGUGAAAAGAUUAAAACAUGCAGAUAUGCAAAGGAGCUCAUCACUAAAAAGGCCCUCUAUUGGUGCUAUAUUCCCCAAGAACAACGCCUCCCGAUAUCCUUCGCCAUCCUCGCCCCUGGUUCACCUCCUCUGCCACCUACUCGUCAACUGAUCAGCAGGAGCAGCAAUAGCCUGAGAGUCGCAGAUAGAGGAACCAGCCUAAACCAGACUUUAAGGACAAGUUUAAGAUCUAGGUUGGGAAGUGAAGAAGGUAUCAAGCUGCAGCCAUCAAUAAUUGAACAAGUGCCACUUGCAGCUUCUGGAAAAAGAAUGGCAAACGGAGGAGAAAGGGCUAAUACUACUUCAUAUGAAGAAGCGCGGGCAGAGACUCUAAGGCUGAACAUAGGGAAGUUGCAUCAAUUAAUUCCAAGACUUGCAGAGAAGUCUUCGCAUGAGCAAAACAACAAGACAAAGAAAAGGCAACACACAUCUAGUCAGCCAGCUCUUGAAAUGCCUAGACGCAUACUAAGAUCGGACACCGCUAGAGCUGAUUCUAGGCAUGAUGAUGAAGACAUGCGAGAUGCUGCAUUAGAAGAGAAUGAAGAUGAUGUUAAUGCAGUGACACAACAUGAUGGUGGUCAACAACAGAAGAAGCAUGGACGCAGCUAUACUAGAAAGGCCGAUAUACGCUUAAGAGGGAACUAGCCACCAAUUAGGCUAGAGAUCAAUGAGAAGGGACAACCUGUGGGGGACAAUGCCACCGAGUUUGCAAAUUUUAUAGCCACACUGGUUAAAAAUAGUGAGAUAGUAUCACUUGCCAAACCUGACUGGAGGUUGGUUGAGCCAAAGCAAAAGCUUUUAUUGUGGAAUACUUUGAAGUUGUACUAUGAAGUGGAUGAAAGAGUUAAAGACUGGGUCAUGGGAAGUGCUGCUAAGAAAUGGAGAGAUUUCAAAUCAGAUCUGAAGGCUUUGUAUUUUCAUGAAGAAAAGACUGACGAGGAGCUCCUUGCUGAUUGUGAUGCUAGAGUUCAUGAAGAUGAUUGGAAAUGGCUUAUUGACCAUUGGAGAACUGAUGCAGCUAAGCAACGUUGUGAGAUAGGGAAGUUAAAUCGCCAAGGGAUGACCUUGUUUCAUACAACCGGCAGCAAGAGUCAUGCACGUGUUAUUGAAGAAGAGCACAAGAAGAAUGGAUAUCCCCCACGUAGAGAUGAAGAGUUUGUUAUAACACACACUACUAAAAAAGGAGUUCCUUCCAAUGCGGCAGCGGCACAAAAAAUUAAAGAGCUAGAGAACAAAGCAAAUGAACAACCAGAAUUGUUAGAAAAAACCAUAGAGCAAGGCGAUCUUUUUUCGCAUGUAUUUGGAAAGGAGAGGAAUGGAUAUGUUCGCUGUAUAGGCAUGGGGCCAAGUGCAUCAGAUCUACGCAUGCCUGGAACUAGAAAAUUGAAAUCAACAAGGCUCCAACUGGCUGAGGAAGAAUGUCGACAAGCUAUGGAAGAGGCUGCACUUUUAAGGGAGCGUGUGGAAGCAACCGAUCGAAAAUGGACAUUGUUAUGAACGAAGUCCUAGAGAUGAAAAAGAUGAUGUUAACUUCUCAGGCUAAAGAAAAGGAGCAAUUCAGUCCACACUAUGAUUCCAAUUCUGCACAAGACGAGUAUAUUUAUGAUGAAGGCGAAAAUAGUGAGACUGGGUACAUGGCUGCUGAAAAGGAGGAUGAUCACGUGAUGUCAAAUAGACCAAUGGUAGAAAGUCAACCAAAACUCACACAACAGAAGAACCAAGUGUUGGUCCAACAGAUGAAUCAACAACUAGAUCAUCAAAACACAACCGUCACUCAAAAGACUCCCCAAGAUGUCAUAUUGUACUCUAUCUCCCGCCCUUAUAACAUACCGGUGGCGAAGGCCACUAUUCAGUCAAUUGAUAGGACGAAGAUAGUGGCGGGUGCCGAACUUGGAUCUCAAUGUUCUGAAGUCGUAGUUAAAAUGGUGAUGAAAAAGGAUGCUAUUUUGCAACGCCCUUAUGGGAAUGUGAGGACCAUGGUGAAUGCUCUCAGGCGAUCUAUUGCAUGGCCUCGUAGAUAUAUUGAGGUUGUUCGUAAAGUUAUGCAGAAGCAACCAUGACAACCCAUAGCAGUCCACACAUCUUGAAGGUCACCGGCAUAAUGCCUUUGCAUCCCGAAAUGCGGUGUGUUUGGUGAGCUAAAAGGAUCUUCUGCUGGGAUAUGUUUACACCUAAAACCAGAUUGUAUAUUUUGCGCUUUUGUCUAUGAUGUACUACUUUGAGUUGUGAACCUACAACUGUACGCAUGUGUGCAUGUAGACCUGAUGGAUAGUUGUGCUUUUGGCUGUCUUGUUACUGGACUUGUAUGCCUGUGUGUGCAUGUAGGCACACAUAAUGGAUCUUUGUGCUAGCUUUUAGUUUCCUGGA
Molecule: long non-coding RNA, 2651 nt
Organism: Triticum dicoccoides
Lineage: Eukaryota; Viridiplantae; Streptophyta; Magnoliopsida; Poales; Poaceae
Exons: 15
Source: RefSeq, a predicted model, not a curated record